This is a long non-coding RNA of Lontra canadensis (Northern American river otter), 250 nucleotides long. RefSeq lists it as uncharacterized. The record is from RefSeq and is a predicted model, not a curated record. The transcript has 3 exons. Lineage: Eukaryota; Metazoa; Chordata; Mammalia; Carnivora; Mustelidae.
GGCAGAGGUUUAACCCACUGAGCCACCCAGGUGCCCCAAGAUCAGAUUUAAUUUUAACUGUGUUGGAAAACGAGACAGAUAGAAGUAUCUUAGUUUAUCCUUUACAAUUUUAAAGCAAAACAAACAGAGUAGUAUAUAUGUAUAUAUGUAAGUAUGUAUAUAAUUUUUACAUAUUGGGCUAAAAAAAAUGUUUGCAAGGGGAAAAAAGCCCAAACGAGUAUAUAGUGUAAGAGUGUAAAAGAGUAGAAUA